Gorilla gorilla gorilla (western lowland gorilla) is the source of this 102-nucleotide microRNA precursor. The record is from Ensembl. NCBI's taxonomy places the organism in Eukaryota, Metazoa, Chordata, Mammalia, Primates, Hominidae.
CUGCCUUAGACCUAGACACCUCCAGUUCUGGGUUCUUAGAGGCCUAAUCCUCUACAAACUCAGUUUUCAGACUGUGAGGGAAAUUCUCUGUCUUAUUGCUUU